UUUCUAAAUUCUAUGUGAAACACAAUAUUCACAAGAAACUUUUAUCAAGGCACCGUAAUAAAUUGGUGUGGAAAAAAUGAACAUGUCUCUUACUGAAAGAGAAAUAUGUAUAGGUUAAAUGUUGGACUCUUAAAUAAUUUAUGAGUAAAGGAAAUUAAUAUGGCGUGUUAUAUUUUUAACAUGUUAUCACAUGCUUCAGUGGAUGAA
Molecule: long non-coding RNA, 207 nt
Filed under: Lathyrus oleraceus (garden pea)
Lineage: Eukaryota; Viridiplantae; Streptophyta; Magnoliopsida; Fabales; Fabaceae
Description: Pisum sativum (pea) long non-coding RNA (PSAT_LNC023476)
Source: RNAcentral